UACGUAGGGUGCGAGCGUUAAUCGGAAUUACUGGGCGUAAAGCGUGCGCAGGCGGUUCGUUGUGUCUGAUGUGAAAGCCCCGGGCUCAACCUGGGAAUGGCAUUGGAAACUGGCGAGCUAGAGUGUGACAGAGGGGGGUGGAAUUCCGCGUGUAGCAGUGAAAUGCGUAGAGAUGCGGAGGAACACCGAUGGCGAAGGCAGCCCCCUGGGCUGACACUGACGCUCAGGCACGAAAGCGUGGGGAGCAAACAGG
RNAcentral lists this ribosomal RNA (253 nucleotides) under uncultured bacterium. Its description in RNAcentral is "partial 16S ribosomal RNA". It matches the Rfam family "Bacterial small subunit ribosomal RNA", at positions 524 to 776 of the family's 1533-position model. The record is from RNAcentral.